RNAcentral lists this ribosomal RNA (301 nucleotides) under uncultured bacterium. RNAcentral describes it as "partial 16S ribosomal RNA". It matches the Rfam family "Bacterial small subunit ribosomal RNA", at positions 509 to 807 of the family's 1533-position model. The record is from RNAcentral.
CAGUCGCCGCGGGAAUACGUAGGGUGCGAGCGUUAAUCGGAAUUACUGGGCGUAAAGCGUGCGCAGGCGGUUGUGUAAGACAGGUGUGAAAUCCCCGGGCUUAACCUGGGAACUGCGCUUGUGACUGCACAGCUAGAGUAUGGCAGAGGGGGGUGGAAUUCCACGUGUAGCAGUGAAAUGCGUAGAGAUGUGGAGGAACACCGAUGGCGAAGGCAGCCCCCUGGGCCAAUACUGACGCUCAUGCACGAAAGCGUGGGGAGCAAACAGGAUUAGAGACCCGCGUAGUCCCUGUCUCUUAUAC